RNAcentral lists this ribosomal RNA (500 nucleotides) under uncultured bacterium. RNAcentral describes it as "partial 16S ribosomal RNA". It matches the Rfam family "Bacterial small subunit ribosomal RNA", at positions 30 to 523 of the family's 1533-position model. The record is from RNAcentral.
AUUGAACGCUGGCGGCAUGCCUUACACAUGCAAGUCGAACGGCAGCACGGGAGCAAUCCUGGUGGCGAGUGGCGAACGGGUGAGUAAAGUAUCGGAACGUGCCCAGUCGUGGGGGAUAACGUAGCGAAAGUUACGCUAAUACCGCAUACGAUCUAGGGCUGAAAGCGGGGAAUCGCAAGACCUCGCGCGAUUGGAGCGGCAGAUAUCAGAUUAGGUAGUUGGUGGGGUAAAGGCUCACCAAGCCGACGAUCUGUAGCUGGUCUGAGAGGACGACCAGCCACACUGGGACUGAGACACGGCCCAGACUCCUACGGGAGGCAGCAGUGGGGAAUUUUGGACAAUGGGCGCAAGCCUGAUCCAGCCAUGCCGCGUACAGGAUGAAGGCCUUCGGGUUGUAAACUGCUUUUGUACGGAACGAAAAGGUUUGGCCUAAUACGCUGAACUCAUGACGGUACCGUAAGAAUAAGCACCGGCUAACUACUUGCCAGCCGCCGCCGUAA